Molecule: transfer RNA, 67 nt
Filed under: Candidatus Gottesmanbacteria bacterium RIFCSPLOWO2_01_FULL_39_12b
Lineage: Bacteria; Candidatus Gottesmaniibacteriota
Description: tRNA-Glu
Source: RNAcentral
GGGCCUGGCGUAGUGCGGACUCUGCCUCUCAAGCAAGAGUUCAGGGGUGCAAUUCCCCUCAGGUCCA